This 342-nucleotide ribosomal RNA is filed under the name Bystus fibulatus. RNAcentral's name for it is "partial 12S ribosomal RNA". Lineage: Eukaryota; Metazoa; Arthropoda; Insecta; Coleoptera; Endomychidae. The record is from RNAcentral.
UUUAAAUGUAAUAAUAAUUUAUAUUAGUAUUAGUUAUGAUCUUGAAAGUAAAAAAAUUUGGCGGUAAUUUAGUCUUUUUAGAGGAACCUGUUCUAUAAUUGAUAAUCCACGAUAAAAUUUACUUAUUUUAAAUUUGUAUAUCAUUGUAUUAGAAUAUUUUUAAAAAAUUAAAAUAUUCAAUUUAUUAAAUUUAAUAAAAAUUCAAAUCAUGGUGCAGUUUAUAAAUAAGAAGAAAUGGGUUACAUUAAUAAAUAUUAGAUUAUUUAUUUUAAAUAAAUAUGAAAAUGGAUUUAAAAGUAAUUUUAUUUAUUUUAAUAAAAUGAUUAUAGCUCUAGAUUAUGU